Molecule: non-coding RNA, 23 nt
Filed under: Cricetulus griseus (Chinese hamster)
Lineage: Eukaryota; Metazoa; Chordata; Mammalia; Rodentia; Cricetidae
Source: RNAcentral
AACCAUCUUUCUCACUGUCUGAG